UGCGUAGGCGGAAUAUUAAGUCAGUGGUGAAAUCCCAGAGCUCAACUCUGGAACUGCCAUUGAAACUGGUAUUCUUGAAUAUAGUUGAGGUAGGCGGAAUGUGUAAUGUAGCGGUGAAAUGCUUAGAUAUUACACAGAACACCGAUUGCGAAGGCAGCUUACUAAACUAUGAUUGACGCUGAGGCACGAAAGCGUGGGGAGCGAACAGGAUUAGAUACCCUGGUAGUCC
This 229-nucleotide ribosomal RNA is filed under the name uncultured bacterium. Its description in RNAcentral is "partial 16S ribosomal RNA". It matches the Rfam family "Bacterial small subunit ribosomal RNA", at positions 568 to 796 of the family's 1533-position model. The record is from RNAcentral.